GUAAAAUCUCCUGAAUCCUUGCUAAUCCUGACUAGGCGCUAAUCUACUGAGGUGUGCAUCAGAUCAGGCAAAGACAUGCUUCAGCAUAAGCUUCUUCAGGGAAGCUCACCGAAAGGUUAUGUGGCGCUGAUGGUUUACCUGACAAUCUGGACAGAUAUGCUGGAGUGUGUAAUGUUUUUACACAGGGAUAUGAGGUGCUUUUGAUGUGCUGUGAUGAGUAGACCUAUCAUACACAGUGCAUUUUCAGGAAAAGUGAUGGAGAUGCACAGACGGACAUUAUGGGUAGUUUUCUAAAAGGACGUGUUUAUUGUUAGCAUUAAAUCAUACAAAGCCAAUAAUGUAUUCACAACUGAUGUACAAAGAAAUCCUGCAUUAAAUAUAACGGUAAUCCAUUGAACAUGAUCAUGUGAAAUUGCUUAAGUAAGGAAUAAAACACUUGUGUGCGUUCUGUUAUAGGAAAAUAGUAAAUGGCAGGUUGGUGUGGUGCAGCCACAGAUGAAGCACAGUCACUGUUACCACUCUGAAGCUGAUUAUUUUCCAAUAACGACAUAUCCUAAAGUAAUUUAUCUUCUUAUAGCACUACUAAUUUGCAAAUGAUUACAAUUUUUAAUUUAUUAAUGUAUAACACAUUGUACAUUAUAUCCAUUUAUAGUUACAUUUAAUGUUCUGGACCAUUCACAAAACAAGUUAGCUCUGGUCACUUGCAUUAUAGCAACUUUUAACAACUUUUUUGUUCAGUUGUUGCUUGCAUCAAGCCCACUGUUUUUAAACACAAGCACCUGCCUUUAAGAUAUAAAUUUUAAACAUAUAAAUUCAUCCCUAAAGAACAAGCCAGAGGCGAUGGAUGGUGACAAAGAAAAUCUCCCUGAGACGACAUGAGGAAGAAACCUUGAGAGGAACCAGACUCAAAAGUGACACCAGAUAGACUGAUUAUAAAUAUGUUCUCUUCUCUUUUCUCGUCCUUUAAACCUGAAAAAAAUACUAUCGCAUGUAAUAUUGCAUUAUCAAAUGUAAUACAACAUAACAUUAAAGCAAUAGAUAAUUUAACAAUGAAAAAGGGUGACUAUGAUUAUAUAUAAAUAAGAAGAACAGAAAUAACAUCUAAUAGGAGUAGUAUAUCACCAAUAUACAGUAUUUCUGCAUAAAUAGUCCUAAUUGUAAUGAUUACAUUAACGACUGCGAAAUUUGGUUUCAUUUAACAACAUGGCUUCUUCCAUUAUUAUAGACUUAGAAAACAGCACUUGAUCCAGCAUAUCCGAUUACUUUGUAUAUCAUUAUUAUUAUGCAUUCUGUUAUUUUUUAUAUCAUGUGCCAACAGUUAAUCGUGCA
Long non-coding RNA from Ictalurus punctatus (channel catfish), 1329 nucleotides. Lineage: Eukaryota; Metazoa; Chordata; Actinopteri; Siluriformes; Ictaluridae. The record is from Ensembl.